AUAUAAGCGUUGGCGGAGCGUCGGUUGUAGCACUCUGCGCGCCCGCUCUUCUGCUGCUGUUUGUCUACUUCCUCCUGCUUCCCCGCCGCCGCCGCCGCCAUCAUGAGGGAAAUCGUGCACUUGCAGGCCGGGCAGUGCGGCAACCAAAUCGGCGCCAAGAGCAGUGUGAACUCUUUAUUCACUCCCAGCCUGUCCUGUGGCCUGUCCCACUGUGUGCACUUGCUGUUUUCCCUGUCCACAUCCAUGCUGUACAGACACCACCAUUAAAGCAUUUUCAUAGU
This 281-nucleotide long non-coding RNA is filed under the name Homo sapiens (human). RNAcentral's name for it is "HSALNT0157079". Lineage: Eukaryota; Metazoa; Chordata; Mammalia; Primates; Hominidae. The record is from RNAcentral.